GCGGCAAAAGCUCAAAUUUGAAAUCUGGUACCUUCGGUGCCCGAGUUGUAAUUUGGAGAGGGCAACUUUGGGGCCGUUCCUUGUCUAUGUUCCUUGGAACAGGACGUCAUAGAGGGUGAGAAUCCCGUGUGGCGAGGAGUGCGGUUCUUUGUAAAGUGCCUUCGAAGAGUCGAGUUGUUUGGGAAUGCAGCUCUAAGUGGGUGGUAAAUUCCAUCUAAAGCUAAAUAUUGGCGAGAGACCGAUAGCGAACAAGUACAGUGAUGGAAAGAUGAAAAGAACUUUGAAAAGAGAGUGAAAAAGUACGUGAAAUUGUUGAAAGGGAAGGGCAUUUGAUCAGACAUGGUGUUUUGUGCCCUCUGCUCCUUGUGGGUAGGGGAAUCUCGCAUUUCACUGGGCCAGCAUCAGUUUUGGUGGCAGGAUAAAUCCAUAGGAAUGUAGCUUGCCUCGGUAAGUAUUAUAGCCUGUG
This 466-nucleotide ribosomal RNA is filed under the name Saccharomyces cerevisiae (brewer's yeast). RNAcentral's name for it is "partial large subunit ribosomal RNA". It matches the Rfam family "Eukaryotic large subunit ribosomal RNA", at positions 98 to 566 of the family's 3401-position model. Lineage: Eukaryota; Fungi; Ascomycota; Saccharomycetes; Saccharomycetales; Saccharomycetaceae. The record is from RNAcentral.